RNAcentral lists this ribosomal RNA (253 nucleotides) under uncultured bacterium. RNAcentral describes it as "partial 16S ribosomal RNA". It matches the Rfam family "Bacterial small subunit ribosomal RNA", at positions 524 to 776 of the family's 1533-position model. The record is from RNAcentral.
UACGUAGGUGGCGAGCGUUGUCCGGAUUUACUGGGCGUAAAGGGCGUGCAGGCGGUUUGUUAAGUGCAGGGUGAAAGCUCCCGGCUCAACUGGGAGAGGUCCUUGCAUACUGGCGAACUCGAGGGAGGCAGAGGAAAGUGGAAUUCCUGGUGUAGCGGUGAAAUGCGCAGAUAUCAGGAGGAACACCGAUGGCGAAGGCAGGUCUCUGGGCAUUAACUGACGCUGAGGAGCGAAAGCAUGGGGAGCGAACAGG